This 71-nucleotide transfer RNA is filed under the name Saccharothrix longispora subsp. yanglingensis. RNAcentral describes it as "Saccharothrix yanglingensis tRNA-Arg". It matches the Rfam family "tRNA". Rfam says of the family: Transfer RNA (tRNA) molecules are approximately 80 nucleotides in length. Their secondary structure includes four short double-helical elements and three loops (D, anti-codon, and T loops). Lineage: Bacteria; Bacillati; Actinomycetota; Actinomycetes; Pseudonocardiales; Pseudonocardiaceae. The record is from RNAcentral.
GCGCUCGAUGUAACGGGUAGUCGCACCGCCCUCCGGAGGCGGGAGCGCAGGUUCGAAUCCUGCCGGGGGCA